AAUAAAUACGACAGAAAGCAAUGCCGAAAAAUGCACAGAAAAUGAGCUGUUAUUUUUAGUCGUUGUUUCUGUUUUUUCCACGUACUUUUAUUAUCUUAUCU
Molecule: non-coding RNA, 101 nt
Filed under: Foraminifera environmental sample
Lineage: Eukaryota; Foraminifera
Source: RNAcentral